AAUGCGCAAGGGACAGCAGCGUCACGGAGAAAAACCUUGUCCUUGUCCUUGAAGGACGGACAGCACAGCGGCGCGGCGCGGGGUGCAGACCCGGGCUCUGGCGCCCCGUCCACCUGGGCGCCUCUGCGGGAGGAGCCCGGCCGGGCGGCCCGCGUGACCGAGGCCAGGGCCAGGACGGCAGGGCCCCCGCGGGGGCCGGAGCGCGUGGAGCCGGGGAGACCCAGCCGGCGGGGAAGACGGACGGCGGGAAGGACGCGGCCGAAGGGCCUAGUCUCAUUUCUACAGGCAGUAUGAACACUCUCAUCUACUUCGGCAAUUAAAUCAGAAAAACUCAAGUUCAAGAAUAAGCCUGUCAGCAGAAAUGUACAAGAAUAAACCUGUCAGCAGUCCAUGUAUGUUGUCAACGCCUCUGAAAUCCUACUGGCUCAUUUUUUUCCCCCUCUGCUUUUAUUGUUUGUCUCUGGACAAGUUCUGACAGUCAAUUUUGCAUUUGGUGUUUUAAUCUUCAACUAUGAAAGAGAAGACAUGAAAAAGAUGGACACUCUCUUGAAAACAUCCACACCAUGCCAUUCUGCCCAGGAAGAAUAAGCAGUGAUUCUGUACACUAUGCAGUUAAGAAUCUUAAACCUAAGAAACACAUACACAAAUCUCAACCUGUUUUCAUUUACUUCUAAGCAACAAAGCUCAUGUUAAAGCACUGGAUCGUGAAGUUUUUUUUCAGCUCUACUUUUUCCAUGAAGAAGAAGACUGAUGUUACCAAUGAUUACAUGUCUUCCCUGCAGGGUGGGAAAUGAGUCUGGGUGUAAAAAAAGUUAAUUAACCGCAGCUAUACACAACUACUAUUUGUCAAUUAAAAAUAAGGUGAAAAAGAAAAAGAUGUUAAUUAAAUGUUUACUUUGCCUUCUAUGGUGGGUAAUGGAAAGGGUCUGUGUGGAAUAAACCACUGCUAUUAAUUCACCUGUAUACAACUGACAUGCAAUGAGUGUCCGUAGGUUAACUGGGUUUUCAGGCACAAAAUUAAUUUUCAAAAAGGUUUAGCUACAAAGGUUUUUACUUCUACUAUCCAGCAUUGAGUAAAGGUUCAAGGAUAAACAUUCCUAAUGUAGUGGGUUCUAUUUCUUUCACAUUGAACUCUAAUUUUAAGCAAAAUACAUACAAUAAUAUGAAACAAGCCACACAAUUUCUG
RNAcentral lists this long non-coding RNA (1186 nucleotides) under Heterocephalus glaber (naked mole-rat). RNAcentral describes it as "lncRNA (ENSHGLG00100050443.1)". The record is from RNAcentral. Lineage: Eukaryota; Metazoa; Chordata; Mammalia; Rodentia; Bathyergidae.